RNAcentral lists this ribosomal RNA (254 nucleotides) under uncultured bacterium. RNAcentral describes it as "partial 16S ribosomal RNA". It matches the Rfam family "Bacterial small subunit ribosomal RNA", at positions 524 to 776 of the family's 1533-position model. The record is from RNAcentral.
UACGUAGGUGGCAAGCGUUGUCCGGAUUUACUGGGCGUAAAGAGCGCGCAGGCGGUCGUUCAAGUCGCGUGUGAAAGCCCCCGGCUCAACUGGGGAGGGUCACGCGAUACUGAUCGACUCGAAGGCAGGAGAGGGUAGUGGAAUUCCCGGUGUAGUGGUGAAAUGCGUAGAUAUCGGGAGGAACACCAGUGGCGAAGGCGACUACCUGGCCUGUUUCUUGACGCUGAGGCGCGAAAGCUAGGGGAGCAAACGAG